This is a long non-coding RNA of Camellia sinensis, 1300 nucleotides long. RefSeq lists it as uncharacterized. The record is from RefSeq and is a predicted model, not a curated record. Lineage: Eukaryota; Viridiplantae; Streptophyta; Magnoliopsida; Ericales; Theaceae.
AUCUUAUAUGAAAGAGAGGGAAAAAUAUUUAAAAAAAAAAAUAAAAACACACAUAAAUCAAUCAUACAGUUAGAACCUGGGGUUCCCAGAUUGGGCGUCCAAGCUUUUUCCAUAAGAAAAAUGGGUUUGCGUUUUGUGUUAGAACCAAUUGCGCCUUGUUGUGUGUGCCCUUCACGUGCUAGUAAAAUCGAAAGUCAAAACACGCUUGUCGACUUCGCCUUCCUACCUCUCUCUCGACCUCGCUUCUGGCUCUCUCCAUUUUCACGCCGAUGACCACCAUCCACCACCGUCGGUGGUGGACGAUCGACGACCACCACCACUCUCUCUUUCUCUCUCUCCAUUCGCAAACCCUAACUGUUGAAUCUGCCAUUGCCGACCUAGGAGCGUCCAUUGCAAAACAGGUGCACUUGUUUACUUUACUAAACUGAUACACGCCUUGCAUUGAAGUGUACACAGAAGGGACAACUGGAUGUCCUGCAAAACAAACAAUGUACAAGCUGACAGCAGUACGAGGGGCACGCACAUUAACCAAGGUUCCUUACCAUUGAAAGCACCAACACAGACAGCGGAGAUGAAGAUGAUGAGGCAAGAGAACACCCCCGUGGCUGAGACAUAGGAGAGUAUGCCGAGGUCAGUUAACAGCAUUGAGGGAAGAAUCACAAGUGCAGUGAUUAAAAACAAACGACUGUGUUCCCUCAACAGUUAGUGUUCCAAUCUUGAUCAUGAAUUUUGGGAAGAGUUUAUGUAAGUUGUCAGCUUCAAGUAUCAAGAGGCCCAUUCCAACGAGGUACAACUCCGAGUUCAUGAUGAUUGUGACUAUGAUUCGGCCUGUUUUACCAAUUGCUUGUUCUGCAAUGUUGAGGUAAGAUCUAAUGGAUGGAUCAGCAUCAAGACAUGUCUUCAGUAGCAGUCCAGUGUAGAAGGUCAUGGGGGUGAUGACGAAAAAUAACAGGAAGCCUAACCAACCACCACUUGAGAGGGCAUAGGGAACUAUCAGAAGACCAAUUCCUGUGAAAUCAAACCAUUGCUUAUCAAAUUUGUAAAUUAUUUGUGCAGUGAAAAAGAACAUCUGAGUUGAAAGAAAAUAAUUGAAGGAGAAGAUGGUUUCUCUCCAGUUCAGUCUUGUGAUUGGACUGUUCCAGUCUAGCAAUUUGGGUCCAUAACAGGAUCCGUUAAGAUGAUUCAAAUCGUUCCUUUUUAUCUCCAUGUGUAUUGAUUAUCCCCAUAAAAAUUUGAUCAGAUAGUUGUAAUCGUAUAAUUUUAUCAUAUUUGAUAGAGCUGCGUGGAGACGAAGGAUUCA